UGAUAGCUCAGGUGGUAGAGCAUGAGGCUCUUAAUCUGAGGUCUGUGGGUUCGAGCCCCACAUUGGGCAAAA
This 72-nucleotide transfer RNA is filed under the name Podarcis lilfordi (Lilford's wall lizard). Its description in RNAcentral is "tRNA.Lys". The stretch from base 4 to 61 matches the Rfam family "tRNA", at positions 8 to 63 of the family's 71-position model. Rfam says of the family: Transfer RNA (tRNA) molecules are approximately 80 nucleotides in length. Their secondary structure includes four short double-helical elements and three loops (D, anti-codon, and T loops). The record is from RNAcentral. Lineage: Eukaryota; Metazoa; Chordata; Lepidosauria; Squamata; Lacertidae.